UGGUAUACAAAUUCCAACUCUACUUUUCAAAUGGAUGUUGGUUGGUAUUAAAUCACUAGGGUUUUAAUAGUUCAUCAGAUAUAUUAAAAAGAGUCAUGAAGUAGCUUAUUUUUAAAUGCCAGUACUUAGAGCAGCUAUUACAUCCUUUGCAACUAUUUAAACUUGUGAUAAAAAAAUUUUAGUUGUCAACUUUAUAAUGUGCAAUGUGGAUGCAUGGGUUAAAGAGAAUUUUAGGGAGCAUGUGAACAAAAAAACUGAAAGACCGGUGCUCUAAAAAAUGGUAGGCCUCAUCUUGAAGUGAGUAUCUGAAUAACUGGGGCUGGGGAUGAAGGGGGCACGAGUGGCCAGGGAGAGAAUUUGGACUCAGGAGAGUAUAAUGAGUAGAAAAGCUGAUCUGGAAGUAGAGGCUAGUUCCCCUGUGAUAUGGUUUGGCUGUGUCCCCACCCAAAUCUCAUCUUGAAUUGUAGCUUUCACAAUCCCAUGUCAUGGGAGGGACCUGGUGGGAGGUAACUGAAUCAUGGGGGCAGGUUUUUCCCAUGCUGUUCUUGUGAUAGUGAAUAAGUAUCACAAGAUCUGAUAAUUUUAUAAAGGGCAGUUCCCCUACACAUGCUCUCUCUUGCCUGCUGCCAUGUAAGAUGUGCCUUUACUCCUCCUUCACCUUCCACUAGGAUUGUGAGGCCUCCCCAGCCAUGUGGAACUGUAAGUCCAUCAAACCUCUUUUUCUUUAUACAUGACCUAGUCUCAGGUAUUUCUUCAUAGCAGCAUGAAAAUGGACUAAUACACCCUGAGAGCAACUGAACAAUUCUGGACAGUGUUCAAAUGCAGGAUAAAUGGAGGGAAGAAGUAGGCAGUGAUGUUCUGAAGGUCCAACCCAGCAGGCUUAGCCUAACCAGGGUGGGAGGUCUGUCCAGAAGGUGGAAAAACCUCAAAGUCAUGUAUGUGAGGGGUGAUGAGCCUAGGUUGCAGUUGGGAACCUGGCAAAGAUGUCAAGACCUCAAAUUAAGGACACUGGGCUUCAGAAGAAGGUUCUCAUAUUAGCGUUAGGCUAAACAGCAGUUAGGCCAUGCAACAAGCAACCCCAGUAUCUCAAUGGUUUAAUACAGAGAAGCUUUUUCCUCCCUUGUGUAACAGUUUGAUGACUCAGUGUCAUGCCAGACCCCUAUUAAUCUCAACAAGCAAGGUACCAUGUUUGAGAGGCAGAAGAAGAAACCCAGAGCUACCAAAUGAGACAUAAAUUAUUAUCAGAGGAAAUUUACACACAGGGAUGGUCCAGUGGCAGUGGGCCAGACAGGAGAACCACAACCACUUGCAAAUAGCAUGUAGUUUAUAAUAUAGCAUUUCCACUUCGCACCCUCCCCUUAACAAUCUCCACCUGACAACCUUCAUUUAACGCAAAACAAAGGGCUUUGAUCCCCUGUAUGGCUCGUGGUCCUUGGGACAGGCUGGGGGUUCAGAUGUUCAUCAUAGAUAAAAAAUGAACCUCCAGGCUGGCCACUCCCAGAUUCCUGAGCUUGGAACUCUGAGCACAUAUUCCGCUGUGUCUGCCCUACAGGGUCAUUCUCAGAGUAUGCUUAAGCUGUUGCUGUCAGGUGUGUUUGCCAUACACUCAGGAUCAGGGUCCUGUCCUUCUUAGUCUCCAUGUUCUCCAGGAGCCAGAAAAAAGGAGAGAGAGGGGAUCAGGUGGCACUGUUUAUGGGCCUUUCAUGGAAGUGACACCUGUGGUUACUUCUGCCUAUGUUCCUUUGGACAGAAUUCAGUUGAAUGGUCAUACUGGAGGCAAGGGAGCCUGGAAAAAGUGGUCUAGUUGAAUGUCCAGAAGGUGAAUAAAGAGGUUUGGUCAACUCCUGAUGUUUCCCACCCCUGUCAAACUCUGGAGUCAGGCUUUGGUCUGGGUUAAAAUGCUGAUCACUGGCCAGGCGCGGUGGCUCAUGCCUGUAAUCCAGCACUUUGGGAGGCCAAGACAGGCGGAUCACAAGGUCAGGAGAUCGAGACCAUCCUGGCUAACACGGUGAAACCCCAUCUCUACUAAAAAAUACAAAAAACUAGCUGGGUGAGGUGGCGGGCACCUGUAGUCCCAGCUACUUGGGAGGCUGAGGCAGGAGAAUGGCAUAAACCUCGGAGGCGGAGCUUGCAGUGAGCUGAGAUCCGGCCACUGCACUCCAGUCUGGGUGACAGAGCAAGACUCCGUCUCAAAAAAAAAAAAAAAAAAAAAAAAAA
Molecule: long non-coding RNA, 2217 nt
Organism: Macaca fascicularis (crab-eating macaque)
Lineage: Eukaryota; Metazoa; Chordata; Mammalia; Primates; Cercopithecidae
Source: Ensembl